Molecule: ribosomal RNA, 883 nt
Filed under: Salmonella enterica
Lineage: Bacteria; Pseudomonadati; Pseudomonadota; Gammaproteobacteria; Enterobacterales; Enterobacteriaceae
Description: partial 23S ribosomal RNA
Rfam family: Bacterial large subunit ribosomal RNA
Source: RNAcentral
CCGGUAAACGGCGGCCGUAACUAUAACGGUCCUAAGGUAGCGAAAUUCCUUGUCGGGUAAGUUCCGACCUGCACGAAUGGCGUAAUGAUGGCCAGGCUGUCUCCACCCGAGACUCAGUGAAAUUGAACUCGCUGUGAAGAUGCAGUGUACCCGCGGCAAGACGGAAAGACCCCGUGAACCUUUACUAUAGCUUGACACUGAACAUUGAGCCUUGAUGUGUAGGAUAGGUGGGAGGCUUUGAAGUGUGGACGCCAGUCUGCAUGGAGCCGACCUUGAAAUACCACCCUUUAAUGUUUGAUGUUCUAACGUGGACCCGUUACCCGGGUUGCGGACAGUGUCUGGUGGGUAGUUUGACUGGGGCGGUCUCCUCCUAAAGAGUAACGGAGGAGCACGAAGGUUGGCUAAUCCUGGUCGGACAUCAGGAGGUUAGUGCAAUGGCAUAAGCCAGCUUGACUGCGAGCGUGACGGCGCGAGCAGGUGCGAAAGCAGGUCAUAGUGAUCCGGUGGUUCUGAAUGGAAGGGCCAUCGCUCAACGGAUAAAAGGUACUCCGGGGAUAACAGGCUGAUACCGCCCAAGAGUUCAUAUCGACGGCGGUGUUUGGCACCUCGAUGUCGGCUCAUCACAUCCUGGGGCUGAAGUAGGUCCCAAGGGUAUGGCUGUUCGCCAUUUAAAGUGGUACGCGAGCUGGGUUUAGAACGUCGUGAGACAGUUCGGUCCCUAUCUGCCGUGGGCGCUGGAGAACUGAGGGGGGCUGCUCCUAGUACGAGAGGACCGGAGUGGACGCAUCACUGGUGUUCGGGUUGUCAUGCCAAUGGCACUGCCCGGUAGCUAAAUGCGGAAGAGAUAAGUGCUGAAAGCAUCUAAGCACGAAACUUGCCCCGA